CGGAAAGCGGCCAGAGGGAACCUCUCGGCCGCGGUGUCAGCCCCCCCGGAGUGGCUGUGACAGCAGCGGCAGCUACAGCUUCUACGCAGAUAAAGAACUACAACUAUCAAAUGUGAAGCCUUCAAUCCGGAAGUAAAACGAAAAAGGAUAAAGCGUAAGAAAUUGGGUUGCCGAGAGCAUCUUAAACAAGCAAAUCACAUUUUCAAGUAGAUCUUUAAAAUAUCUGACAUUCUGCAUUCAAAGUGAAGAUACGUUCCGAAUCACAUUCUCUGAGAUCCUGCUGAAGGAACUGAGCACUGGAUCAGAGGAGCUGGAAAGAGAAACCGGCAAGAAGGAAAAACAUGAGGAGUAAACAAGGAGUAAACAUGAGGAGAACAAGGGAGAGAAGAAUGUGAAGAGAUUGUAAGAGGGCACUGGUACAACUGAUUGGAAACUGAAAGAGAAAAAGAAUGAGGCUUAAUAUGGAGAGAUCAGUGCCAGAGAAAAGGCUUACAUCAGAAGAGAAAGAAGGAAAUGCAUUUAGUGGGAAAUAGAAAAGCACCAGGAUUCUUUGCCUCAGUUUCUGCUCAAAGAGAUUGUUGAAUGCACUGAAGCUGCUAGAGGAAAGUUGUGGCUUUAGAAUAUCCACAGAAGAUUGUUUCAAGGUUUCUUCAAAAACUUACACCAGUAGUCCACCUUGUCAGUUUCAUUGCAGAGACUGUAUCCCUUUGGUAAAUGGUAAACCCACGUCCACA
Hyaena hyaena (striped hyena) is the source of this 734-nucleotide long non-coding RNA. RefSeq lists it as uncharacterized. The transcript is spliced from 4 exons. The record is from RefSeq and is a predicted model, not a curated record. NCBI's taxonomy places the organism in Eukaryota, Metazoa, Chordata, Mammalia, Carnivora, Hyaenidae.